Long non-coding RNA from Cryptotermes secundus, 2981 nucleotides. RefSeq lists it as uncharacterized. Lineage: Eukaryota; Metazoa; Arthropoda; Insecta; Blattodea; Kalotermitidae. The record is from RefSeq and is a predicted model, not a curated record. The transcript has 3 exons.
UAAAGCUGGCACUAACUUCGCCGACAAGCGGCGGUCGCUCGGUCAGUAUAGUUUGCUUACGGACAAAACCAGAGUUUUUUUUCUAUAUGUGAAGUAGCCGGCCGCCUCAACAGCCUUCUCACAAUUGCAGCGUGGAACUUUUCAUAUAUCUCUGAUGACAAGGUGCGAUGAAAACUUACUGACUAAUAACGGUCUUGUUCUCUUGCAGAACUUCCAAUGAACAAGGUUGUGGUGGGUAUAGGACCAGUGUCAAAUACGACUUCAGUUGGACCCAAGGUAGACUCUUGGAGCAAGAAUAUGCACCUCGUGCGAGAUGGGAGCGACUUCAAGAUAAUUAACGAGAAUCCCAUGCCGAAUACGACUUCAGUUGGCCCCAAGGUAGUCUUGGAACAAGAAUAUGCGCCUUGUGUGAGAUGGGAGCGACUUCAAGAUAAUUAACGAGAAGCCCAACUAUAAACACGUGAAGUCCAGGAUUGACCGUACGAAGAGGCCAUUCAGUCUAGAUCGUGACGAAAAUAAGAUUCUGGCAGGGUGAGUUGUGGCAUGGCUCAGAAAAACAUACCAGGUGUUGGCUAUCACCGUCAUGACGUGGAAGUAGAGGUCAACAGCUCCUCCGUUGGAAUGAGACCCCUACUUAAACUGAAGCCAGAGCUGUUGAGGCUGCUGUCCCCCUUGAGAGAGCAUCGCAUCCGUGAGCUGCUGGUUAUCUGAGAGGCCGUAAAGCAUUUCCGUUACAUGCUGGAAGCACACCGUAAGCCGUAUCACGUAUGCCUUCCAGUAGAAACAGCACAAAUGCUGACCGUGGACCUCCAACACGCUAGUCAGCAGCAGGUGCCCUUUACAUCGGGAGCGCAGACAAUAACAGCGAGGCUUUAGCAGCAACACCAUCAGCCGACACAAGAAAACCCUGCCGGUUGGCAGUUACACGGCUGCCGACGCUAGGAAGACCAGGCGACUCGUCGUCUGGCCACGUGCAGAGAAAAGGUCGCCCGGCUUGCAUGGAAGCAUGAUAUACGAAGGGUGAUGAAUCCCACGCAGCCAACAGUAAUGAAUCCAGCUGCCGUUCCGAGAUGUUGGGGAAUAUGCAGCGGUAGAGAGUUCGGUUCUGUCUGCAGAAAACCAAUGUAGCUGCUGCCAGUACCUCUGCAUGGCUGACAUUUCGUGGGUAUGCCGCAAGUCCCUGCACGACAUACCCAGUUUUCAAAAUAAUGAAGUAAAUUAAUUGCGCCUAGGAGUAUAGUCAAAGAAAAGUAUAUUCACAAACCACUGGAUAUAGAAUGAGUCACAUAUCAGAACAAAUGUGUUCCAGUUUUUUUUUAAAACCAUAUUGAUUAGGAUUUAGAAUAACAUAUUUUUUAAGAUGAUUCUUCUUUCAAGAGAGGCUUUAUUACGGAGUAUUUUAGUCUCUCUGGAAAUGAACCAGACUGUAUUAUUUUGUUAGAUUAUUUGUAACAUAUGGAUUUAUCAUACAAGAAUUGCUGAGAAUUUAAUUUACACUGAAAAGGGGAUGAAAAUAGAUUUACCUUAAUAACCCCUUUAAUUACGUUAUCUAUUAAAUGACAAGCAGAAUUACUUCAUUUAAUUUAAUUAUAUCUCGUUACAGGUGGUUUUUUAGAUCUUUCGGAUACUCUCACAUUACUUAAUAUUACUUCUGUUAACCUUACAGCAGCAAGGACCUCACUGUCCGUCAAAGAAAUGGGAUACUUAUUGUCCUUAAUCCAUGGUAGUGUAAUAUUAUUAUCCCGUCUAUUCAGCUGUUCAUCUAUAUACUGUCCAAUAAUUCUUAUCACUUUUUCUUUCCCUUUAGAAUUCAAGUGCAUCCCAUGAUGGGUAAAAUUUUCUUUAUCCAAAGAGAGGUCAAGCAAUUUUAUGUGUGGCAUAGUAUUAAUCAAUUUUCCUAAUUUUCUGUUAAGAGUCUGAAUUUCAUUGUUAAUACAAGAAGACUUUUCCUGAUCGUGUGUAUGCAGAGCGGGAACAAGUAUAAGAUUAGUAUAUUGGUGCUAUAAUGCAAAAUUAGUGAUGAGUUUUAAACCUUUGGAGGGUUCACUUUUAUUAAUAUCGUUGAUCCACCACAGAUGACACAAUCCUCACAAUUCAAUCCUCUAAUAUCCAUGUUGGCGGCUUUAGUUAUGUUCAGGAGUCCUGCACCAGGCAUCACAUUUUCCAUAUCCUCCAAAGAUUUGCCGUACUCGCGUAACAGAUUUGCAGCAAAACCUCUUGCAUAGCUAUCACCAAUUAUUAAAAUAUUAUUUGCUGCAGAUCGAGCCAGUGUCUGUAAUUGCUUAACCUUUGGUUUUUGAUUGAUAUUAUGAUAAUAAGGUGCUAAGUUUUCUUCUUUUAGGUACUCUAAAAUUGCACAACAAUUUACCACCGUUGGAAACUUAAAUUGUUGAUGUGAAACGGUGUCAAUUUUUUAAUGCCUUUUAUACUGAGAAACAAUUUUCCAGUUUGAUGAAGGAGAUACAUCACUACUUGCAUUAGUCACUGAAUUUAUUAAUAAUUAAUAUUGUCUACAUUAAGGGAUAAUUGUACUUGAUCUUCUAAAAUUUUCACUAUUUCCACCACCGAUUUCAAUUCACUAACAACCCUCUGCAAUUCGUCUUUCAAUUUUAGACAGCACAAGCAUGGUGAAUUAACAUUUUCCUUAAAAUUUUCCAUUUCUUACAGCGUACUUGCACUCAACACUCUCAGGAUCAGCCAUGUUUAGCUAUAAAACUCAUUUUUCCACGACCGUCUCGACCAAUCAGAGAGCCUAAACAUGCCAAUUUGAAUACCCACAAUUAUAUGCGGUAAUCUUGGUGCGUUAUAUGAAAAUUGUCUUCCUCAAAGAAGGGCGUGGCGAAUUGGUGAUCGCAGUGAGAGUCUGAUGCCGCCUGAGAGUUUGCGUGUUCAACCUUCUUGUGAUAAAAAGGGACACUACCCUGCUUAGUUCUUUGUGAUUUUCUCUAUAAUUAUUACUGUGAUUAAACUGGUAAAUUGAA